CGAAGAAGUUUUCAAGAAGCAUGGGACGUUGGCCGAUGCUACAACCAAAGAAAAGAAGGAAGACCUUAAGCUCUCUAAUUUAGGAGGAUCCCCGAAGGAGUCAGCUAUAGUCUAGACAUCCACCCUUAUGCCAACAAUCCAAUUCUCUUCCUCGAGACCGAUGACCUAGAAGCCCCUGCAAAUAACAUCACCCAUCACCGACAUGCUUGUCCCAACAGAGGAAGUUCACUAACUAUACUCCCAUGAACACAUCUAGAACUCAAGUGCUCAUAG
Molecule: long non-coding RNA, 273 nt
Filed under: Elaeis guineensis (African oil palm)
Lineage: Eukaryota; Viridiplantae; Streptophyta; Magnoliopsida; Arecales; Arecaceae
Description: long non-coding RNA (EGUI_LNC056570)
Source: RNAcentral